This is a long non-coding RNA of Triplophysa rosa, 912 nucleotides long. RefSeq lists it as uncharacterized. The record is from RefSeq and is a predicted model, not a curated record. The transcript has 3 exons. Lineage: Eukaryota; Metazoa; Chordata; Actinopteri; Cypriniformes; Nemacheilidae.
UCUCUGCAGAACGCAAUGUAACUACAUCCAAGUGCAUUCCUUCAGAAGGUCACAACAAGUAUGAUGCAGCAACAAGAGGGAGGUAGCAUCGGAUACCGGCUUGCAGAAGCUCUGAAUAGUACCCUACAGCGUAGCUGCAGUGGCUAUGAGACUUCAUGUCUCUUGUCAAAAGCAACCAUUCUCGAUCCACACUUCAAAACGCUGACAUUCAUAAGUCUACAGAAGGCUGAUGAAGCUGUAAAAAGUGUCUCAUCUGGAGGUGCAAUGUUAGUUUUAGAAGGACCUGCACAGGCAUUACCACCUACAACUUCAGCCUCUUCAACAUCCAAUGAAAUCUGGCAGGAUUUUGACACUCGGGUUUCUUCACAAAAUCCAAGGAAGGACUUUUAAACUGAACUCAAACUGUACCUGACUGAGCCCAACAUUGUGUGAUCUGGAUGUCCUAUCCAGUACUGAGGUGGGAAAGAAGCCAAGUUUCAUUUGCUACGUCAUCUUUCAAUAAAAUACCUCAGCGUGCCAGCUACCUCGGUACCGAGUGAACGUGUUUUUUCAAAGGCCGGCAAACUGAUUUCAAAAAGACGAUCAAGGCUUCAACCAAAACAAGUGCAGAUGACACUAUUUCUGAAUAGCAAUAUCAUCUUUUUAAAAGGAUGCCAUUGUUUGAUUUCCAUGUUGUCUUUUUAAACUGUAUUAUCCAGUUUUAUGACAAAUCACAAUCUCUGAACAUAUAUGUUCUAAAUUAGAAGGUUCUAUUUCUGUUUAUUCCAGUUCAAGGUGUACAUUUGUUUUUACACAACGAUGUGCUGUAUUUAUGCAAGACUAUUAAUUUCAAGUCUAAACAUAUUAUGUGUGGUUCCGUACAGUGUUCAAAUGUCUCCCAAUUAAAUGACAAAUUGUUUUAAGAUAGUAGUA